CACAUUCUUCCUGUAGAUCUGUCAUAUGGUGGGAUCUGUUUUUAUGAAAAACAACAACUUCCUGUUUUGGAAGAGAGAAACUUUGAGCUGCUUAACACAACAUUGUCAUCUUUGAGUCAUGGUGCAAUUAUUCCAUUGUGGUCAAAGUUGUCAACACCAUUUAAUGAAUCUGCUGAUAGAACCAAACAGUAUUACAAGCGCAAUUAUGGAUUGGACCAUGAAAUAUCUCCCUAAUAUGUUUCUAGAGAAGCAAUCAGAUUGGUACGGACAGAAGAGAAAAACUGGCAUGUCAUUGUAGGAAUAUUCAAGAGUGAAAAUAAAGACUUGAAGGUAAACUUACAGUUCUUAAUCAUUUAAUAAAAUUGAGAAUGGAAAUGGGGAAUGUGCCAAAGAGACAACAACCCGACCAUAGAAAAAAACAACAGCAGAAGGUCACCAACAGGUCUUCAAUGAAGCGAGAAAUUCCCGCACCCGUAGGCGUCCUUCAGCUGGCCCCUAAACAAAUAUAUACUAGUUCAGUGAUAAUGAACGCCAUACUAAUUUCCAAAUUGUACACAAGAAACUAAAAUUAGAAUAAUACAAGACUAACAAAGGCCAGAGGCUCCUGACUUGGGACAGGCGCAACAAUGCGGCGGGGUUAAACAUGUUUGUGAGAUCUCAACCCUCUCCCUAUACCUCUAGCCAAUGUAGAAAAGUAAACGCAUAACAAUACGCAAAUCAAAAUUCAGUUCAAGAGAAGUCUGAGUCUGAUGUCAGAAGAUGUAACCAAAGAAAAUAAACAAAAUGACAAUAAUACAUAAAUAACAACAGACUACUAGCAGUUAACUGACAUGUUUAGUUUGCUAUACUAUAUUGCAUUUGUGAAACCCUGUUAAUUUUUUGCUCACAUGACUAAAAGUCAGGGUGAGAGUUUGCCAUCACUGUUGUGUCUGUCAAGAUCAACAACAAAAUUCUGCAAGAUUUUCUAUUUGAGAGUUAUCUCUCUUUAAAAGAUGAAAUUUAGUGAUUUUUUAUAUAUUUGCUUAUAUCUUGAAAACUGUUAGACCUUGAAUCAAAAUUAAAAUUACAAAAUAUUCAGCUGAUGACUUUACUUCAAAAGGUCUGCAAGGGCUAAAUUGUCUCUCUUUAAAACCAGUAAAAUACUGAUUGUUGCUAACAUCUUAAAAACCACGGAACCUGGGGGAAAAGUUUUACUUGCACUACUGAUUUAAUAACUCAUCAUGAGCUAUUAAAAAAGUCUUUCGUCAAAAUUGCCAUUUUAUGUUUUAAGAGUUGAAACAUUCACACAUUUGAAUGAUUCAGAUUCCUUGUAGCCUCUAGUUAUAGCUUGAUACUACUCACAUGGUGACUCAAUUAAAACAUUUUUGGUCGUUUAUAAUUCUUCACAUCAAAUGUCCCACUGUACAUAAUACAUGACCUCUAAGAUUGUUUCAGACGCGAACUCUGUAUAGCUUAUUACUCAAAUUAGGGUCCUACUAAAAUGCCCCCGGAAGCGCUCGGGUGAAGAAAAAGCGCCCAGGGAAAAGAAAAGGCGCCCUGGGAAAGUAUAUAGAUAUUUUAUUGGUAUGAGAUAACUUUGUGUUGAUGAAAUAAGUUAUGCACAUUAAUUUUUAGCUCACCUGGCCCGAAGGGCCAAGUGAGCUUUUCUCACCACUUGGCGUCCGUCGUCCGUCGUCGUCCGGCGUCGUCCGUCGUCGUCCGGCGUCGUCCGUCGUCGUCGUCGUUAACAAUUUACAUUUUGAACUUCUUCUAGAGAACCACUGAAUGGAAUGGAACCAAACAUGGCAUGAAUGUUCCUUAUGAGGUGCUGACCAAGUGUUGUUACUUUGUAGCCGAUCCAUCAUCCAAGAUGGCCGCCAGCCGGGACUUUAGUUUAACAUAGGACGCUAUUGGGAAUGCAUACAAUGACUUCUUUUAGAGAACACUGAAUGGAAUGAAACCAAAACAUGGCAUGAAUGUUCCUUAUGAGGUGCUGACCAAGUGUUGUUACUUUGUUGCCGAUCCAUUAUCCAAGAUGGCCGCCAGCGGGGACUUAGUUUAAAAUAGGACCCUAUUGGAAAUGCAUACAAAUGACUUCUUCUAGUGAACCACUGAAUGGAAUGAAACCAAACAUGCAUGAAUGUUCCUUAUGUGGUGCUGACCAAGUGUUGUUACUUUGUAGCCGAUCCAUCAUCAAAGAUGGCCGCCAGCAGGGGACUUAGUUUAACAUAGGACCUAUGGGACAUGCAUACAAAUGACUUCUUUUAGAGAACCACUGAAUGAAAUAAAACCAAACAUAGCAUGAAUGUUCCUUAUGGGGUACUGACCAAGUGUUGUUACUUUGUAGCCGAUCCAUCAUCAAGAUGCCGCCAGCGGGGACUUAGUUUAACAUAGGACCUAUGGGAAAUUGCAUACAAAUGACUUCUUCUAGAGAACCACUAAAUGGAAUGAAACCAAACAUUGCAUGAAUGUUCCUUAUGGAAUGCUGACCAAGUGUUGUUACUUUGUAGCCGAUCCAUUAUCCAAGAUGGCCGCCAGGGGACUUAGUUUAACAUAGGACCCUAUUGGAAAUGCAUACAAAUGACUUCUUCUAGUGAACCACUGAAUGGAAUGAACCAAACCAUGGCAUGAAUGUUCCUUAUGUGGUGCUGACAAGUGUUGUUACUUUGUAGCCGAUCCAUCAUCAAAGAUGGCCCGCCAGCAGGGGACUUAGUUUAACAUAGACCCUAUGGGACAUGCAUACAAUGACUUCUUUUAGAGAACCACUGAAUGGAAUAAAACCAAACAUAGCAUGAAUGUUCCUUAUGGGUGCUGACCAAGUGUUGUUACUUUGUAGGCCGAUCCAUCAUCCAAGAUGGCCGCCAGCGGGGGGGACUUAGUUUAACAUAGACCCUAUGGGAAAUGCAUACAAAUGACUUCUUUUAGAGAACCACUGAAUGGAAUGAAACCAAACAUGGCAUGAAUGUUCCUUAUGAGGUGCUGACCAAGUGUUGUUAACUUUGUUGCUGAUCCAUCAUCAAGAUGCCGCCAGCCGGGGACUUAGUUUAACAUAGGACCCUAUGGGAAAUGCAUACAAAUGACUUCUUUUAGAGAACCACUGAAAUGGAAUAAAACCAAACAUGCAUGAAUUAUUCCUUAUGGGUGUGCUGGACCAAUGUUGUUACUUUGUAGCCGAUCCAUCAUCCAAGAUGGCCGCCAGCGGGGGACUUAGUUUAACAUAGGACCCUAUGGGAAAUGCAUACAAAUGACUUCUUCUAGAGAACCACUAAAUGGAAUGAAACCAAACAUGGCAUGAAUGUUCCUUAUGUGGUGCUGACCAAGUGUUUGUUACUUUGUAGCCCGAUCCAUCAUUCAAAGAUGGCCGCCAGCAGGGGACUUAGUUUAACAUAGGACCCUAUGGGACAUGCAUACAAAUGACUUCUUUUAGAGAACCACUGAAUGGAAUAAAACCAAACAUUGCAUGAAUGUUCCUUAUGGAAUGCUGACCAAGUGUUGUUACUUUGUAGCCGAUCCAUUAUCCAAGAUGGCCGCCAGCGGGGACUUAGUUUAACAUAGGACCCUAUUGGAAAUGCAUACAAAUGACUUCUUCUAGUGAACCACUGAAUGGAAUGAAAACCAAACAUGGCAUGAAUGUUCCUUAUGUGGUGCUGACCAAGUGUUGUUACUUUGUAGCCGAUCCAUCAUCAAAGAUGGCCGCCAGCAGGGGACUUAGUUUAACAUAGGACCCUAUGGGACAUGCAUACAAAUGACUUCUUUUAGAGAACCACUGAAUGGAAUAAAACCAAACAUAGCAUGAAUGUUCCUUAUGGGGUGCUGACCAAGUGUUGUUACUUUGUAGCCGAUCCAUCAUCCAAGAUGGCCGCCAGCGGGGGACUUAGUUUAACAUAGGACCCUAUGGGAAAUGCAUACAAAUGACUUCUUUUAGAGAACCACUGAAUGGAAUGAAACCAAACAUGGCAUGAAUGUUCCUUAUGAGGUGCUGACCAAGUGUUGUUACUUUGUUUGCUGAUCCAUCAUCCAAGAUGGCCGCCAGCCGGGGACUUAGUUUAACAUAGGACCCUAUGGAAAUGCAUACAAAUGACUUCUUUUAGAGAACCACUGAAUGGAAUAAAACCAAACAUAGCAUGGAAUGUUCCUUAUGGGGUGCUGACACUCAGUGUUGUUUACUUUGUAGCCGAUCCAUCAUCCAAAGAUGACCGCCAGCGGGGGACUUAGUUUAACAUAGGACCCUAUGGGAAAUGCAUACAAAUGACUUCUUCUAGAGAACCACUAAAUGGAAUUAAACCAAACAUAGCAUGAAUGUUCCUUAUGGAGUGCUGACCAAGUGUUGUUACUUUGUAGCUGAUCCAUUAUCCAAGAUGGCCGCCAGCGGGGGACUUAGUUUAACAUAGGACCCUAUUGGAAAUGCAUACAAAUCACUUCUUCUAGUGAACCACUGAUUGGAAUGAAACCAAACAUGGCAUGAAUGUUCCUUAUGUGGUGCUGACCAAGUGUUGUUACUUUGUAGCCGAUCCAUCAUCCAAGAUGGCCGCCAGCGUGGGACUUAGUUUAACAUAGGACCCUAUGGGAAAUGCAUACAAAUGACUUCUUUUAGAGAACCACUGAAUGGAAUGAAAUUAAACAUGGCAUGAAUGUUCCUAAUGUGGUGCUGACCAAGUGUUGUUACUUUGUAGCCGAUCCAUUAUCCAAGAUUGCCGCCAGCGGGGGACUUAGUUUAACAUAGGACCCUAUGGGAAAUGCAUACAAAUGACUUCUUUUAAAGAACCACUGAAUGGAAUAAAACCAAACAUUGCAUGAAUGUUCCUUAUGAGGUGCUGACCAAGUGUUGUUACUUUGUAGCCGAUCCAUCAUCCAAGAUGGCCGCCAGCAGGGGACUUAGUUUAACAUAGGACCCUAUGGGAAAUGCAUACAAAUGACUUCUUUUAGAGAACCACUGAAUGGAAUAAAACCAAACAUGGCAUGAAUGUUCCUUAUGAGGUGCUGACCAAGUGUUGUUACUUUGUAACUGAUCCGUCAUCCAAGAUGGCCGCCAGUGGGGGACUUUUGAAUGAAAUUAAACAUGUUCCUAAAAUUCCUUAUAAAUGAGGUUGUGUUGUCACUUUUAGCCAAAUUUUAUAUUUUUUUAUAUGAUUUCAAAAACCCAAGUAGAAUCAGGUGAGCGAUACAGGCUCUUAAGAGCCUCUAGUUUUUUUAAUUUUAGACAAGUAAUUUUCAAAUUCAGAUAAUAGACAUUUGUAAUAAAACAAGUAUGAAUGUUUCAAUUUUAACAAUAAUAUAAUUUAUGAAUACUAUUUCGAAAGACUGAUUAUAAUGGAUCACAGUUUAUGCGGAAGAUUUAUAAAAUGUAAGACAUCAAAGGCAUGUUUUAUAUAGAAAAUAUUAGACUUCAGGCAUCAUAUGCACAUUUAUAUUAAAGGGAAAUUCCGCGAUUUUUUACUUAUCAUCUAAUUAUGUUCAUCUUAACAUAAAAAACACAUUUGCAAAGUUUUAAAUUUAUAUUCCUUCUAAUAACGGAGAAAAUCAAGUAUUUGAAACUUUUUUGGUUGAAUUCUCGAGUGGGUCGUGACGUAUUAGCCCGAUUUAUUGAAUUCUGGGAAAAAAUAAAAUCUGUUUAACUCUUAUAGCUUAUCGACAAUAUACGUAAUUAAAAGCGCACAGCUGACGAAUGGUCGUAGUCAUUAACCACAAUACAAGAAUGAACGAAAAUGAAUAUGCAUAUACCGUUUUGUUUUGAUGAAUUAAACUCCUAUUAAAUUAUCUCUAGUAAAUGUUUUCGAAUAAAUUUCAUUAAUUAUUGUUGAGAAUUUUUUCAUAAAAUAUUUAUUGAACAUUUUUACUGAUAUUGAACUGAAAUUAUUUCAGUUCUAUUUACCGUUAUUGUUUUGAUAAUCAUUUCAAUGCAACUAAAGUGUGAGCAGAGUGUGUAUAUUAUUUUGUAAAGGUCACUGUAUAUUUCUCGGCUUGAGGUCAAUUUGUUUACCUUGUAGCUAUUUAGCCGCAGGUGUGAGUUCAAGCGUACACAGGUAUAAAUGUUGUUAUUUGGAAAGGAUAAACAGAAAGGGUUAGAAAGAGUAUGCUGUCACGAUUUUAAUACACUAAGAGUUUAAUACACGAUGAGAAUAAAGAUACAAUAAUUAAAUUGUGUAAAUUAAUUGAAAAUAAAAUUUCAGAUUCGUAAUUCCGAAAGUGUAUAAAAAUAAAAGGAAACAAUUUUUGAUUACUUUCUUGGCGGUAAUUGGCGUAAAUGAAGUAAAAAAUGGUAGUUUUAAUCUUUAAUAAAAACUAAAUGCAAUAUUACCCAAUUUGUUAUACCAUUGCCAAUCUGUUUGAUAUCAUUGACUUUACCGGAAUUUUUUAACUUGUAUUCAAAUCUGGCUGUGUUUAAAUUCUUAUAAAACUAUAGCAAUUUUAAAGUUUUUAAUUGAAAAAAAAAAUACAACAUACAAAAUGCAUGAUUUUUUUGUUUUAGUUUCUUUUUAACAUUUUAUUCUUGCAUAAUUAAAUUCAUUUGACAAUCAUUUACACGAACUUUUUAUGAAAAGAAUACCAAUUAUCUAAGCUAAGGCAUUAUUUUUUUUGACAAUUUUUUUUUUUAAAUUCUAUGAUAAUAUUUUGUGCAAUGUUGAACAUGAUAGCCAUCAUUAAUCCAAAUAAGUAAUACAGUAGUUGUAAUAAAACUUAUAUCUUAGUCAUGCAUAACUGAUAUUGACGAAUUUAGAAUAGUUUGUCCAUACAUCGUUGUUCUUGCACAAAUCAUUAUUAGUAUACAUACAUGUAAGUUUCCUGACGUAUAAGCACCACUGAGGAUGAGCUCCAGAGAAAGCAAAAUAGUAGCGUUUCGUUCGUUUGUUUGUUGGGAAAGGAGAGGAAAUGCAACCACUUGUACAGAUAAACGACAGAAUUACCAUACAAGCAUUUAUAGUCAAUACAAACAGAAAGAGUUCCCAUCGUUGGACAGGGAAUAUGAAGGCUUCCAAGAAUGAACUAGUGACAUGUCUAACUCUGAACAGUUAGAAAACGGACUAUCGACAUCGACCGCUUGUUCUUGAUAUUUGAAACUGCAUGCAUAUAUACGUAUACGUUUAUGAUUGUGAUGAGUUCUUGCGACUGACAAAAACUAAAUUCCUUUAUGGUUAUAUCUUGCCAUACUUUUAUAUUGGUUUGUAAGGUGAUUACUAAAAAAUCAUUAUUUGAAAAAUCCUGUUUGUGAGAUGUAGAUUCAUUUCAAUACAGAAAUUUCGUCUAUGAAUUAAGUUCCACAAGUGUAUAACACGGAGAAGCUCUGAGGGUCCAUUACUCCCAUUUUGUUUGGGUGUGAACCAUCGAUGUUUACAGCAAUAUCAAAGAAUAAGAUGAUGAUGGUAGAAAGAUCUAUGGGCGUUAUGUGGCAAAUAGUACAUGCAUAUCGGACCAUGAGUUGUCAAUUUGUAUGAAAAGAUUUCCGAUACAACCAUAUUAUUGAGAAGCAAGGUUUAAAUGCUAUACUCUCGUACUAGUAUUACAGGGUUCUUGUCUUGUGGCGUUCACCUUAGACACACAUCUUUUUAACGAUGUUUAAAAAAACGACAGAACCAAUUUAAUGUCAUAUUUCCAUAUUUUUUUUUAAUGUAACUAAAAGUCUUUUAUCUGACAAGAAUACCCCUAUUUAGCGGACAAGUAAUUUAUUCUUUUUUCUGUUAUUGAAUACCAAGAGAGAAAAUAAAUCCCGAAAUUAAUUUGAAACUUUGAUACUCAAAAGUUUGCCAGCAAAAUAUUCACAUCCCUUGGGGAUAAUUAGUGUUCGUCCAGUGGCAUAUAUUACAAUUGUGAUGACGAAUUCCUUCCUUUGUUCGAGAACAAUCUUAUUGAAAUAUAAAUCUGUGAUUUUACUAUUUCCCGUGACAACUUCAAUGAACCAAAGCAAAAGUUAUACAUCGACCUGUAUUUAAAUCAAAUUGGUUCUCUUCUUCUUCUGGUAUACAAUAGUCUAUCGACAUUCGAUGAUUACCUUCUGUUGGCAUACGUGGACUAGUCUAUUUACAAAACUUUUACUCCAAUUUAUUCAAAUAUAUGGGUUUUUUUCUUAUGUUUAAUGUAUACAUGUAUAUAUUUUAAAUUGCGCUUUAGUUCCAUAACUUUCAACCCAGUCGUAUAAACGAAUCAUCGGCAAGUGCGUACAUUUUAUAAAUCAAUAUUUCUGGUAUGUUCCAAUCUGUCCUUCACCAUUGACAAUGAGUAUAUAUUACAUUUUUCCAAAUUCACCCUUGGAAAAAAUAUUUAAAUAGAUUUUAAUUCCAUCAAAUCUUAUUUUUUGGGUAUUAUUUAUAUUUUUAUGAAUAUAUUUCUUUACACCAGAAAUGUUAUUUAUAAACAAGCGUAUGAGUUUAGUAAUGACAAGUAAGACAGAGUUGUAUAUUAUACAUCUGAUAGUUCAAAAUGGAAAGUUAUAAGUUAUCAGCCGUGUACACUGAUCAAUACAUGCGCAUGAACUUGCAAGCCCGACAGGAAAUCGCUUGAAUACCUGGACGUGUCACCUCACACCCCUCCCAAUACCUUUGAAAGUAAUACCUGUAGCCAUGCUGGUGAUCAGAUGAGGGAAGAUAAAAAGUUAUUUGAAAAAAGUUUAUUACUUUAAAGAAUUAUGAACAAAUUAGAUUUUCGAAAACAAUUUUCACGGAUAACUUAUUUAUGAUUUCAACUUUGACUUUUUACCUAAUUCCAAUAUCAACAGUUUAAAAACAAAAGACCGUGGUAAUUAAAAAAAAAUAAGAAUAUUUUCCGUAUCAACUUGAAGUUAGUAAGUCGGAUAAAACAACCGUACGGUUGCCAAGAUAUCGACAUGCAAUUACGACUACAUCGGUUACUGUAGUUUUGUUCCUUUUGGGUUUAUAGACAUAUCGAUUUUAUUAACCGGGAACGAAGACAAAAUGGCUGAACGGAUGGAAAUGAUUCUCUAAAUUUAAAAUCGAUGGUGAUCGCUUAUCUAGCGGAAUAAAACUAUAAUAUCUAUGAAUUUGAGCAUUUUUAUGCCUAAUGAACAUAAUAUCAAUUUUUGAUUUUUUUGCGAAGUUUCCCUUUAAGGACAAAACAAGGAAUGAUUAUUUAUUCUUUUUAAGGAAAACAUUUAUUGUUGUAAAAUAUUAUUAUUUUAUUCUCACAGGCGCUAAUUUUCCUUCCCUGGGUGCUUUUUCCUUUCCCCGGGAGCUCUCGGGCGCUUUUUAGUAGGACCGUCAAAUUAAAAACACACAUUUACAUCUAAAUGAACUUGGCGACUACUUGAUGUUUACACCAGAAUAGAAUGUAUAUACAUUAUCAUAUUCAAUAGUAUAAAAAAAAUAAAACAAUGAUUACUGUAAGUAUGUAUACUAUUAAUCUUGGUGGUCUACAUCCUGUUUUAACAUUACAAAGUAUUUUUAUUUUAAAUUUUAAUCAUUUAUGUUGUGGUAUUCUUUUUUCCAGCAUCAAACAUUUGUCUACUUGAUGGAUUCUGCCAAGCUGAAGACUGGUACAGUGUGUAUUCACUAUUGUUUCAUGCAUUGACCACCAUCAAACAAUGUUCAACUUCCCGAAAUUAAAGAAGUGUUUCUUUGUUCUGAUAAUGCAGGAUGUUACAAGUGUGGACAAAUUUGGCUUGUGAUGAAUGAACUUAAUCAGCAAUCAGGUAAAGCUAACAAAACCUUUAAACAGACUUAUUAAGAAGGGAUAUACUAGUAGUUACUAUACUGUUGUCACGUCACUAAAGAAUGCUUAUUUUGGCUUUAAUAUAUAUUGAUUCACUUAUAGGGUCUUUGCAUCGGAAGUUACAAACACACUUAUUUUAAAACCAGUUGUUGGCAUGACAAGGAUUAUGUUCUUCUAAUAUAUUUUAUUAUGGUAUAAUACUAAUUAAACCCCUAGCAGGAGCCCUCUGGAUUGUGCUUGAUAUUCAUAUGAUGAAGACAUAAUCUUUCAAUCAGUUUAAUUGAAGUCUGGAGCUGGCAUGUCAGUAUAACUGCUAGUAGUCUGUUGUUUAUAUUUAUGUACUAUUGUCAUUUUGUUUAUUUUCUUUUGUUUAUACCUCUUCUGACAUUGGACUCGGACUUCUCUUGAACUGUGUUUUACUGUGUGUUUUGUUAUGCGUUUAUUUUUCUACAUUGGCUAGAGGUAUUAAGGGAGGGUUAAUUUGAGAUGUCAAAAUCAUGUUUGACCCCGCCGCAUGUUUGCGCCUGUCCCUUUUGUUAAUCUUGUAUUAAUUUUUUUUUGUAUGAGUUUCUUGUGUAUAAUUCAGAGUUUUAAUAGUAUGAAGUUCAUUAUCACUGACCUGAUGUAGAUAUUUUUUUAGGGGCCAGCUGAAGGAUGCCUCCGGGUGCGGGAGUUUCUCGCUACAUUGAAGACCCAUUGGUGACCUUCUGUUGUUGACUGUUCUAUGGUCGGGUUGUUGUCUCUUUGACACAUUCCCCAUUUCCAUUCUCAUUUUAUACAUUUUCAUGCAGCGUUGUUGACGAGCUUUUGGCAUCAAUUUGUAUUUGUCAUCCAUUGAAUUUUCUUCAAUGAUAUCUCUGAAACCAUGAAACAGCAUGAUCAGUGAAGAACAUGCUAAUCUGGGAAUGAAUAUACACACAACAACAGCAACAAACUUUUGUCACAAUUUUUUUUUAAAACUAAAAAAUGUACCUUCAUAAAAUUUACUAUAAAAACUUCAUGUUACAUAUAUACUGUGAUAUUUAUUAUGCGAUGCAUUAUCAGAAAUUUUUGUCUCAGUUUUCUCAACAACUUUAUGCAAUUUAUCCUAUGAUACAUAAUAGAAUGUAUACUGUUUUCCUGACCGUCACUUCCCGUUUACAACAUAAUGAAACACAGGCGACAUAAUUUAGGCUCCAUCUAGUUGUUUUUGUUUUUAACAUUCACAUUUAAUAUAUAGAAUAAUUGAGCAAGGGAUAAACAAACAUACAUAUUCAAACUUUAUGGUGGAUUAAUUGAACAUUUUGUUUUAAGUUGUUGCUUCAAGUAUUUUCAUUUAAAAUUCCUUAUUAUAUUACCUCUGUUUUAUAGGCAUCAUCAUAAGGCGAUAUAAUUAUAGUGAACCCCAACUUAAAAAACUGAAAAGUUUAAUCAGGGUCAGUUAACUGGGCAUAUAGUUGAAGCCGCUGAUGAUGUACAUGGUAUGCGAUCUGCUGUCACUGAAGAUGGAUAUAGAUGAUUUGGUAGAUCUGAUUGGCUGCAAGUGACCCAAAUUACAGCCUUUUUUCUAGACUGGCACAGACAUUAUGUUCGUUUUCUAAGAAAGAUGAUGACUUUACACUGAAUACUUUAGUGGCAGAUGAUGUUGACGAUUUAAGGGCCAUUGUGACAACUUUAGAUGCACAGGAUAUAAACCAAGA
Molecule: long non-coding RNA, 11318 nt
Filed under: Mytilus galloprovincialis (Mediterranean mussel)
Lineage: Eukaryota; Metazoa; Mollusca; Bivalvia; Mytilida; Mytilidae
Source: RNAcentral